RNAcentral lists this ribosomal RNA (378 nucleotides) under Pseudanapis parocula. RNAcentral describes it as "partial large subunit ribosomal RNA". The record is from RNAcentral. Lineage: Eukaryota; Metazoa; Arthropoda; Arachnida; Araneae; Anapidae.
UCAAUGAAAUAAAUAGCCGCAAACGUGCUAAGGUAGCAUAAUCACUCGCCUUUUAAUUUAAGGAUAGAAUGAAAGAUUAAACAAUUAAAUUUCUUUAUUAAUAAUAUAUAUUUAAAUUUUAUUAAAUAUAAAAAUAUAUUUAUAUAUAAAAAAGACGAUAAGACCCUAUUGAACUUUACUUCAGUUUAGUUGGGGAAACUAAUUAAUUAUAAUUUUAAUUUUUUCUAAUUAACAAAAAUCUAUUUAAAUAAAAAUAAAAGCUACCAUAGGGAUAACAGCGCAACUAAAUUUUAAAGCUCUUAUUCAAAAUUUUCUUACGACCUCGAUGUUGAAUUAUAAUUUCUUAUAUAAGUAAAAAUAUAUAAAGCUAGUCGUCGA